AAGAACGCUGGCGGCAGGCUUAACACAUGCAAGUCGAACGCCCCGCAAGGGGAGUGGCAGACGGGUGAGUAACGCGUGGGAAUCUACCCAGAUCUUCGGAACAACUGAGGGAAACUUCAGCUAAUACCGGAUACGGCCCUACGGGGGAAAGAUUUAUCGGUUCUGGAUGAGCCCGCGUACCAUUAGCUAGUUGGCAGGGUAAUGGCCUACCAAGGCUACGAUGGUUAGCUGGUCUGAGAGGAUGGCCAGCCACACUGGAACUGAGACACGGUCCAGACUCCUACGGGAGGCAGCAGUGAGGAAUCUUGCGCAAUGGGGGAAACCCUGACGCAGCAACGCCGCGUGAGUGAGGAAGGCCUUCGGGUCGUAAAGCUCUGUCAGAUGGGAAGAAAUGGAUGGGGGCUAAUAUCGCCCAUCCUUGACGGUACCAUCAGAGGAAGCACCGGCUAACUCCGUG
RNAcentral lists this ribosomal RNA (457 nucleotides) under uncultured bacterium. RNAcentral describes it as "bacterial SSU rRNA". It matches the Rfam family "Bacterial small subunit ribosomal RNA", at positions 31 to 507 of the family's 1533-position model. The record is from RNAcentral.